CGCCCCGCUCCGCCCCCGGAGGUGCGCGGGGACAGCGGCUGGUGGGCGCACCGGCCGCGAGAGGCUCGGCCGGUUUAUCACUGUGGCUUUUUUCCCCCUUCUUUCGGGAGUGUUGAGGGCUUUUUUUUUUCUUUGGGGGGGGGUAAUUUUUUUCCUCCCCUUAAGCGGGCUGGUGGCUCCUUGCCAUGAGCAGCCCGAAGGCAGCAUGAAAGCGGGCAGGCGCGGCUAUCCCGCCCGCUCCGGUGCAGGAUGGCUCCUGGCGAAGUGCUGCUGCUGCUGCAAAGGGGCUGUCAGAGCCUGAAUAAUUUAAGAGUGAACAAAUGAGAGACGUUCAUGGAGGACUCUCUUCUUACCUAGGCAGAAUUUGACAAGCAUGUAGAUUGCCUUGGGUUUCCACUGCACCUACCACAACUUUACUAAGAGAAAAGCCCCCCUUUCCUAGACAUCUGUGUCACUCUUGCUUAGUAAAGUUAUUCAAGAUCAGCGCCUUUGGAAUUGGUUGGUAAAUGGACAAAGCCUUUCUCUUUGCCCGGAGCUCCUGACAGCCUCCAAGUACCAAAGAGAACUCCACACCACUAGAAAGCAAGAGACAGCUGCUGAAUGUUGGAAGCUACUGCAUCUGGCAAAAGAAGCUGCCACUAAGAUGCACACAGUCUGUUUGUUUGUUCUGCUUGUUUUCUGUGCUUUCUGAGCCCUGUGUGUGCCUGGAAAGUUUAAUGACCAAUUCCUUCUUUCUCAACAUGCAGUUUUUCCUCCCAUCCCAAAAAAGCUUGGAGUUCUGUUCUUGCUUUUUUCAAUUCCGAUUUAUUUUUGUCACUGAUACGCUUCUGUUGUUUCCACUAGGAAUUGUUUGGGACGUAGCCACAGCUUCCUUUGAGGCAGGGAGUUAUUAAGAAAAGGCUGUUCAAAAGUCCUUUUCGCCUCCUACCUUCCGCAAAAUUUCAGCAGAGCGGUCCACCUUGUCAGAGAGUUUGCUGGCUUUAAGCGUAAGGCAGAGUUGACCUUAGCAAUGAUGUCAUUUAACUGAGAAAUUACUUCACUGAAUGUGGAAAAGUUCUUACAGUAGCUCAAUUUGGGAGCUGCUGAAUGAAGCCGACCCUUGACACUUUGCAAAAAGAAUAAGGCUUGUGUUGUAUUAACAGCUGCUUGGAAACCAUGUGUAAUAAAUUUUGUUUUUGUGCCCACCACGAGGAUAAAAGAUGGUAUUCCGCCGGCUUGGGUCCCCCUGCACUCGCAGUAGAGCAGAAUUGCUUAGAUCAAAGUUUAAAAGUCUCCUUCUGUGUGGGUGUCUAAGCAGUUUGCAGUUCCUUAUGCUAAAAGUAACAGUGUACUUGCAAAGGCCAGCAAAUGCUGCUCUUCUUGCUCAGCUUCAAAUAUGACGUUUUCC
This is a long non-coding RNA of Dromaius novaehollandiae (emu), 1387 nucleotides long. RefSeq lists it as uncharacterized. The record is from RefSeq and is a predicted model, not a curated record. NCBI's taxonomy places the organism in Eukaryota, Metazoa, Chordata, Aves, Casuariiformes, Dromaiidae. The transcript is spliced from 2 exons.